Paralichthys olivaceus (Japanese flounder) is the source of this 345-nucleotide long non-coding RNA. RefSeq lists it as uncharacterized. The record is from RefSeq and is a predicted model, not a curated record. NCBI's taxonomy places the organism in Eukaryota, Metazoa, Chordata, Actinopteri, Pleuronectiformes, Paralichthyidae.
UGAGGUCACGGUGUUGCUCCAGGUGCUUCGGCUGGGCCCCGCUGACACGCACCUGUCCCUGAGGGUGAGGAGCCCCGGGGCCGGCUGUGUUAGCCGCUGUCCUCCGCUCACCGUCCCGGCUCAGCGUCCCACCGUCCCGGCUCACCGCUGCUCAGAGGUUCUCCAGAAGCAGGGGGCAGAUGGUUCCUGUGGUGCUCAGGAGGCCGAUUGUGGCCAAGGAGGCUGAUGGGGUUGACGGGGACUGGAGAUGGAUGGCUCAGAGAUCACACACACUCACCCGCAGCGGAGAACAGCGUAGCUGGGCGGGCCAAGUCGUGGGGGUGAUGGAUGCCGCUAAACAGGCCA